AACGAACGCUGGCGGCAGGCUUAGCACAUGCAAGUCGAGCGCCCCGCAAGGGGAGCGGCAGACGGGUGAGUAACGCGUGGGAAUCUACCCAUCCCUACGGAAUAGCUCCGGGAAACUGGAAUUAAUACCGUAUACGCCCUACGGGGGAAAGAUUUAUCGGGGAUGGAUGAGCCCGCGUUGGAUUAGCUAGUUGGUGGGGUAAAGGCCUACCAAGGCGACGAUCCAUAGCUGGUCUGAGAGGAUGAUCAGCCACAUUGGGACUGAGACACGGCCCAAACUCCUACGGGAGGCAGCAGUGGGGAAUAUUGGACAAUGGGGGCAACCCUGAUCCAGCCAUGCCGCGUGAGUGAUGAAGGCCUUAGGGUUGUAAAGCUCUUUCACCGGGGAAGAUAAUGACGGUACCCGGAGAAGAAGCCCCGGCUAACUUCGUGCCAGCAGCCGCGGUAA
This 447-nucleotide ribosomal RNA is filed under the name uncultured bacterium. RNAcentral describes it as "partial 16S ribosomal RNA". It matches the Rfam family "Bacterial small subunit ribosomal RNA", at positions 29 to 523 of the family's 1533-position model. The record is from RNAcentral.